CAUUAAAUAGCUGAAAGUCAGCUUUGGUCUCUUAAACCAAAAAUAGUAACCCCACGUCUACUUUUAAUGA
RNAcentral lists this transfer RNA (70 nucleotides) under Setarhynchus sp. AH-2016. RNAcentral's name for it is "tRNA-Lys". Lineage: Eukaryota; Metazoa; Arthropoda; Insecta; Coleoptera; Curculionidae. The record is from RNAcentral.